AUUGAACGCUGGCGGCAGGCCUAACACAUGCAAGUCGAGCGGAUGAAGAGAGCUUGCUCUCUGAUUCAGCGGCGGACGGGUGAGUAAUGCCUAGGAAUCUGCCUGAUAGUGGGGGACAACGUUUCGAAAGGAACGCUAAUACCGCAUACGUCCUACGGGAGAAAGCAGGGGACCUUCGGGCCUUGCGCUAUCAGAUGAGCCUAGGUCGGAUUAGCUAGUUGGUGAGGUAACGGCUCACCAAGGCGACGAUCCGUAACUGGUCUGAGAGGAUGAUCAGUCACACUGGAACUGAGACACGGUCCAGACUCCUACGGGAGGCAGCAGUGGGGAAUAUUGGACAAUGGGCGAAAGCCUGAUCCAGCCAUGCCGCGUGUGUGAAGAAGGUCUUCGGAUUGUAAAGCACUUUAAGUUGGGAGGAAGGGCAUUAACCUAAUACGUUAGUGUUUUGACGUUACCGACAGAAUAAGCACCGGCUAACUUCGUGCCAGCAGCCGCGGUAAUACGAAGGGUGCAAGCGUUAAUCGGAAUUACUGGGCGUAAAGCGCGCGUAGGUGGUUUGUUAAGUUGAAUGUGAAAGCCCCGGGCCUCAACCUGGGGAACUGCAUCCCAAACUGGCCAGCUAGAGUAUGGCCAGAGGGGGGGUGGGAAUUUCCUGUGUAGCGGUGAAAUGCCGUAGAUAUAGGAAGGAACCCCAGUGGCCGAA
This 703-nucleotide ribosomal RNA is filed under the name uncultured soil bacterium. RNAcentral describes it as "bacterial SSU rRNA". It matches the Rfam family "Bacterial small subunit ribosomal RNA", at positions 28 to 720 of the family's 1533-position model. The record is from RNAcentral.